This 520-nucleotide ribosomal RNA is filed under the name uncultured bacterium. RNAcentral's name for it is "bacterial SSU rRNA". It matches the Rfam family "Bacterial small subunit ribosomal RNA", at positions 120 to 674 of the family's 1533-position model. The record is from RNAcentral.
GGGAAUCUACCGUGCCCUGCGGAAUAGCUCCGGGAAACUGGAAUUAAUACCGCAUACGCCCUACGGGGGAAAGAUUUAUCGGGGUAUGAUGAGCCCGCGUUGGAUUAGCUAGUUGGUGGGGUAAAGGCCUACCAAGGCGACGAUCCAUAGCUGGUCUGAGAGGAUGAUCAGCCACAUUGGGACUGAGACACGGCCCAAACUCCUACGGGAGGCAGCAGUGGGGAAUAUUGGACAAUGGGCGCAAGCCUGAUCCAGCCAUGCCGCGUGAGUGAUGAAGGCCUUAGGGUUGUAAAGCUCUUUCACCGGAGAAGAUAAUGACGGUAUCCGGAGAAGAAGCCCCGGCCAACUUCGUGCCAGCAGCCGCGGUAAUACGAAGGGGGCUAGCGUUGUUCGGAAUUACUGGGCGUAAAGCGCACGUAGGCGGAUAUUUAAGUCAGGGGUGAAAUCCCAGAGCUCAACUCUGGAACUGCCUUUGAUACUGGGUAUCUUGAGUAUGGAAGAGGUAAGUGGAAUUCCGAGU